UAGGGAAUCUUCCACAAUGGGCGCAAGCCUGAUGGAGCGACACCGCGUGAGUGAAGAAGGGUUUCGGCUCGUAAAGCUCUGUUGUUAAAGAAGAACACGUAUGAGAGUAACUGUUCAUACGUUGACGGUAUUUAACCAGAAAGUCACGGCUAACUACGUGCCAG
This 164-nucleotide ribosomal RNA is filed under the name uncultured bacterium. RNAcentral's name for it is "partial 16S rRNA". It matches the Rfam family "Bacterial small subunit ribosomal RNA", at positions 355 to 511 of the family's 1533-position model. The record is from RNAcentral.